UUUUGUUGCAUUACAGAUAUUUAAGGUUUCACUGUGUCUGUUGGAGGAUUGAAAGAUGAUUGGUUGACAGGGGAACUUUUAUCUGUGGGGGUCCGUUUUCGAUGAAACGAAACUUUUAGUGAUGCGGAAAUGAAAUCUUAAACGCAUGUGUGACACAGUUCGUCUCCACCCCUGAAGCAGAGAUGGCUUAGACUUUUACAGGGCGAGGUGUUGUUACAUUUUGCUUUUCUGCUAUGACAAAAAGGCUUUUUGUUGGAGAACCCUGAAGAGAAAACACGUCAGAGUGUUGUGUUACGACAAAAGAGAGUCCCACCAGCUGGGAGACCUGUCAGACCGCACUGUCACCGGAGACGACCGAAGAUCGGUAAGGCUCGAGGAUGAAGUGCUCGGAUUGUGGCCACGCUAUUGUGGAGAAGCAGGCCAAGUUCUGCAGUAACUGUGGCUUCAAGCUUUCUACCCAACCUGCUACUGCACAGGUCACAGAAAACCGGCCUCACUCACUGGUAGCUGAAAGUGAAACUCCGAGAACAGAUUCUCAGAAAAAUGACCAGCUUGCUGAAACCAAGGAAGCCAAGAAGUCUCCGAAACGACCAAAUGAUGAACAGCCCAUCCAGAAGAAAAAGGUUAGUUUUGACUUCCAGAGGUUGUUGAGAGCUCUGGGUUUGUUUAAGAGCAAGGACCCACAAACCGGCCAGUACAAGGCUAAAGUGGGCGUCUGAAU
This 721-nucleotide long non-coding RNA is filed under the name Oryzias javanicus (javanese ricefish). RNAcentral's name for it is "lncRNA (ENSOJAG00000005610.1)". Lineage: Eukaryota; Metazoa; Chordata; Actinopteri; Beloniformes; Adrianichthyidae. The record is from RNAcentral.